Molecule: ribosomal RNA, 1538 nt
Filed under: Parabacteroides distasonis
Lineage: Bacteria; Pseudomonadati; Bacteroidota; Bacteroidia; Bacteroidales; Tannerellaceae
Description: bacterial SSU rRNA
Rfam family: Bacterial small subunit ribosomal RNA
Source: RNAcentral
CAAUUUAAACAACGAAGAGUUUGAUCCUGGCUCAGGAUGAACGCUAGCGACAGGCUUAACACAUGCAAGUCGAGGGGCAGCACAGGUAGCAAUACCGGGUGGCGACCGGCGCACGGGUGAGUAACGCGUAUGCAACUUGCCUAUCAGAGGGGGAUAACCCGGCGAAAGUCGGACUAAUACCGCAUGAAGCAGGGGCCCCGCAUGGGGAUAUUUGCUAAAGAUUCAUCGCUGAUAGAUAGGCAUGCGUUCCAUUAGGCAGUUGGCGGGGUAACGGCCCACCAAACCGACGAUGGAUAGGGGUUCUGAGAGGAAGGUCCCCCACAUUGGUACUGAGACACGGACCAAACUCCUACGGGAGGCAGCAGUGAGGAAUAUUGGUCAAUGGCCGAGAGGCUGAACCAGCCAAGUCGCGUGAGGGAUGAAGGUUCUAUGGAUCGUAAACCUCUUUUAUAAGGGAAUAAAGUGCGGGACGUGUCCCGUUUUGUAUGUACCUUAUGAAUAAGGAUCGGCUAACUCCGUGCCAGCAGCCGCGGUAAUACGGAGGAUCCGAGCGUUAUCCGGAUUUAUUGGGUUUAAAGGGUGCGUAGGCGGCCUUUUAAGUCAGCGGUGAAAGUCUGUGGCUCAACCAUAGAAUUGCCGUUGAAACUGGGGGGCUUGAGUAUGUUUGAGGCAGGCGGAAUGCGUGGUGUAGCGGUGAAAUGCAUAGAUAUCACGCAGAACCCCGAUUGCGAAGGCAGCCUGCCAAGCCAUUACUGACGCUGAUGCACGAAAGCGUGGGGAUCAAACAGGAUUAGAUACCCUGGUAGUCCACGCAGUAAACGAUGAUCACUAGCUGUUUGCGAUACACUGUAAGCGGCACAGCGAAAGCGUUAAGUGAUCCACCUGGGGAGUACGCCGGCAACGGUGAAACUCAAAGGAAUUGACGGGGGCCCGCACAAGCGGAGGAACAUGUGGUUUAAUUCGAUGAUACGCGAGGAACCUUACCCGGGUUUGAACGCAUUCGGACCGAGGUGGAAACACCUUUUCUAGCAAUAGCCGUUUGCGAGGUGCUGCAUGGUUGUCGUCAGCUCGUGCCGUGAGGUGUCGGCUUAAGUGCCAUAACGAGCGCAACCCUUGCCACUAGUUACUAACAGGUUAGGCUGAGGACUCUGGUGGGACUGCCAGCGUAAGCUGCGAGGAAGGCGGGGAUGACGUCAAAUCAGCACGGCCCUUACAUCCGGGGCGACACACGUGUUACAAUGGCGUGGACAAAGGGAUGCCACCUGGCGACAGGGAGCGAAUCCCCAAACCACGUCUCAGUUCGGAUCGGAGUCUGCAACCCGACUCCGUGAAGCUGGAUUCGCUAGUAAUCGCGCAUCAGCCAUGGCGCGGUGAAUACGUUCCCGGGCCUUGUACACACCGCCCGUCAAGCCAUGGGAGCCGGGGGUACCUGAAGUCCGUAACCGAAAGGAUCGGCCUAGGGUAAAACUGGUGACUGGGGCUAAGUCGUAACAAGGUAGCCGUACCGGAAGGUGCGGCUGGAACACCUCCUUUCUGGA